Molecule: long non-coding RNA, 490 nt
Organism: Cimex lectularius (bed bug)
Lineage: Eukaryota; Metazoa; Arthropoda; Insecta; Hemiptera; Cimicidae
Exons: 2
Source: RefSeq, a predicted model, not a curated record
AAAUAUUUACGAUGGGAAUCCCAGAAUUUUCCAAAACUAAAAAACCAUUCUAGCCUAGCGUAAAAUUGGCCUGAGAGAUCCUCAGAAGGGAGGGGAAAAAACUUAAAAUGUAGAAUCUGUAUAUUUCCUACCCUAUUCAUCAUCACAUAUCAUAAUUAAUUGUAAGGUCUGGCAUAAAGGAUUCAUCAGGAGAUUAAAAGGGAUUCUACCAAAGCAAAUUGCUGAUAUCAGUUCCUGCCUAACUGACAGACAAUUUAGAGUCAGACAAGAAGAUCUAUAUUCAGAAUUAAAAACAAUAAAUGCAGAAGUGUCACAAGAUGACUAAGCAGUGAUGACAGUAAGACUGACCAUCAACCUUUCAACCAAAAUACUUCAAAAGGCUUGUAAUAAAUUAAAUGAAUGGACAAAAAAUUGAUAAUCAAGCUCAAUCAGCAAAAAUCAGAACAUACAAAUUUUACAUACAAAAAAGUGGUCGAUGCAUCUUGUCACA